GUGCUCUCUUCGGCAGUACAUAUACUAAAAUUGAAAUGAUGUAUAGAAGAUUCACAUGGUACCUAUGCAAGGAUAUCAUGCAAAUUCAUGAAGCAUUGCAUGUGUAA
Suncus etruscus (white-toothed pygmy shrew) is the source of this 107-nucleotide small nuclear RNA. Lineage: Eukaryota; Metazoa; Chordata; Mammalia; Eulipotyphla; Soricidae. The record is from RefSeq and is a predicted model, not a curated record.